UGGGGAAUAUUUGGCAAUGGGGGAAACCCUGACCCAGCAACGCCGCGUGAGGGAAGAAGGUUUUCGGAUCGUAAACCUCUGUCCUUUGGGACGAAAGAAAUGACGUGACCAAAGGAGGAAGCCCCGGCUAACUACGUGCCAGCAGCCGCGGGAAUACGUAGGGGGCGAGCGUUGUCCGGAAUGAUUGGGCGUAAAGGGCGCGUAGGCGGCCUGUUAAGUCUGGAGUGAAAGUCCUGCUUUCAAGGGGGGAAUUGCUUUGGAGACUGGCGGGCUGGAGUGCAGGAGAGGUUAGCGGAAUUCCCGGUGUAGCGGUGAAAUGCGUAGAGAUCGGGAGGAACACCAGUGGCGAAGGCGGCUAACUGGACUGUAACUGACGCUGAAGCGCGAAAGUGUGGGGAGCAAACAGG
RNAcentral lists this ribosomal RNA (407 nucleotides) under uncultured prokaryote. RNAcentral describes it as "bacterial SSU rRNA". It matches the Rfam family "Bacterial small subunit ribosomal RNA", at positions 355 to 776 of the family's 1533-position model. RNAcentral also lists the same sequence under 1 other name. The record is from RNAcentral.